Molecule: long non-coding RNA, 310 nt
Filed under: Capsicum annuum
Lineage: Eukaryota; Viridiplantae; Streptophyta; Magnoliopsida; Solanales; Solanaceae
Description: long non-coding RNA (CANN_LNC013562)
Source: RNAcentral
CGGGGGUUUGUCCCGACCCUAGUUAUGUCAUGUAUAUCCUAGAGGCUUUGUAGACAUAAGGAAGGGUAAAGUCAUGGAAGUUUAUAUAGUAACGUUAUAUUUGUAUAUGUGUAUAUAUAUAUAUAUAUUUGUGUGUGUUGUGCUGAUACAGGUAAUUAGACCCUUCUAUAUGCAACGAAGUGCUGUCCAAAUUUUUGGUGACAUGUAAGUGAAAGUACAGGUAUUUGAAUGGGUUCUCCCGGGCCUUCUCGGCUUCGGGUGCCUGUCCGGCCCGAUAGGAUUUUGGGGCGUGACAUAGCCCCUCUAGGUC